GGUGAUUAUAGAACAGACUUCAUCCCAUAUUUUCGUUUUAUCACAUUAAGCAGCUGAGACUGAGUCAACAAAAAGGUUUUUGAAUAUGUUUCUAUGAUUCGCACGAAGUUUUCCAAGGCCCGCCUUCAAACGUAUGGUAUCAUUUCCAGGCUCAGAAUUUCCACCCUAAGAUGUACCGGGGCUCAGCACUGUAACGUGUACAGCUUGGGACAGACAGACUUAGAAAUACUUGUCCUCUGGAGUGGACAAAAAUGAAUGGCUGCAUCUCAACCCUAAGGAACCAGAUUUUACCAAACCACUGCAAAUUAUUUAUUCUAAUCAGAGCCAAACUGUCUCUUGGAGGCCAAUGCUGGAAUCAUACUAAAACAGCAAUUUGUAAAGUGGCCUUUGACCACAUGGUCAUCCUGAAGAUGUGCAUCUGAAUUGAACAUCUGGAAGCAUCAGUGCUCAUCAUCAAUGCAAAGCUGUACAGCUGUGGCACCGUGGCGUCACCACCAUCACUCCAGGGCCUGGUCUUUGACAGACAAACACAGUCGCAGCCCCCGGGAAGAACGCUGCUGCCGAGGCACAACCAGUGACAACGCUCUCCAAGGACACACGAUGGAAGAAGGCAAUGAAUGGGAAACCCUUCUCCGUACCCUCCACCUACCAUGA
This 654-nucleotide long non-coding RNA is filed under the name Scleropages formosus (Asian bonytongue). Its description in RNAcentral is "lncRNA (ENSSFOG00015032859.1)". The record is from RNAcentral. Lineage: Eukaryota; Metazoa; Chordata; Actinopteri; Osteoglossiformes; Osteoglossidae.